Molecule: long non-coding RNA, 141 nt
Organism: Nothoprocta perdicaria
Lineage: Eukaryota; Metazoa; Chordata; Aves; Tinamiformes; Tinamidae
Exons: 2
Source: RefSeq, a predicted model, not a curated record
CAAUCAAGAGCUUCCAUUUAAAAUAAACAGAGAGGGUGUGAGCACACGCUGAACGAAACGAAUUACUCUGAAUUGCUUGGAGUCAUGUCGCAGAAAAAAGCAGGUCUUCCCAAGCUUUUCCAGAAAGUUUGAAACUUUCCU